CCUACGGUAGGCAGCAGUGAGGAAUAUUGGUCAAUGGGCGUAAGCCUGAACCAGCCAAGUCGCGUGAGGGAUGAAGGUUCUAUGGAUCGUAAACCUCUUUUAUAAGGGAAUAAAGUGUGGGACGUGUCCUGUUUUGUAUGUACCUUAUGAAUAAGGAUCGGCUAACUCCGUGCCAGCAGCCGCGGUAAUACGGAGGAUCCGAGCGUUAUCCGGAUUUAUUGGGUUUAAAGGGUGCGUAGGCGGCCUUUUAAGUCAGCGGUGAAAGUCUGUGGCUCAACCAUAGAAUUGCCGUUGAAACUGGGAGGCUUGAGUGUGUUUGAGGUAGGCGGAAUGCGUGGUGUAGCGGUGAAAUGCAUAGAUAUCACGCAGAACUCCGAUUGCGAAGGCAGCUUACUAAGCCAUAACUGACACUGAAGCACGAAAGCGUGGGGAUCAAACAGGAUUAGAUACCCGAGUAGUC
RNAcentral lists this ribosomal RNA (460 nucleotides) under uncultured bacterium. Its description in RNAcentral is "partial 16S ribosomal RNA". It matches the Rfam family "Bacterial small subunit ribosomal RNA", at positions 338 to 795 of the family's 1533-position model. The record is from RNAcentral.